UGCAGUCGACGAUGAAGCCCAGCUUGCUGGGUGGAUUAGUGGCGAACGGGUGAGUAACACGUGAGUAACCUGCCCUUGACUCUGGGAUAAGCACUGGAAACGGUGUCUAAUACCGGAUAUUUCAACUGACCGCAUGGUCUGGUUGUGGAAAGAAUUUUGGUCAAGGAUGGACUCGCGGCCUAUCAGGUAGUUGGUGAGGUAAUGGCUCACCAAGCCUACGACGGGUAGCCGGCCUGAGAGGGUGACCGGCCACACUGGGACUGAGACACGGCCCAGACUCCUACGGGAGGCAGCAGUGGGGAAUAUUGCACAAUGGGCGAAAGCCUGAUGCAGCAACGCCGCGUGAGGGACGACGGCCUUCGGGUUGUAAACCUCUUUUAGUAGGGAAGAAGCGAAAGUGACGGUACCUGCAGAAAAAGCACCGGCUAACUACGUGCCAGCAGCCGCGGUAAUACGUAGGGUGCAAGCGUUGUCCGGAAUUAUUGGGCGUAAAGAGCUCGUAGGCGGUUUGUCGCGUCUGCUGUGAAAACUGGAGGCUCAACCUCCAGCCUGCAGUGGGUACGGGCAGACUAGAGUGCGGUAGGGGAGAUUGGAAUUCCUGGUGUAGCGGUGGAAUGCGCAGAUAUCAGGAGGAACACCGAUGGCGAAGGCAGAUCUCUGGGCCGUAACUGACGCUGAGGAGCGAAAGCAUGGGGAGCGAACAGGAUUAGAUACCCUGGUAGUCCAUGCCGUAAACGUUGGGAACUAGAUGUGGGGGCCAUUCCACGGUCUCCGUGUCGCAGCUAACGCAUUAAGUUCCCCGCCUGGGGAGUACGGCCGCAAGGCUAAAACUCAAAGGAAUUGACGGGGGCCCGCACAAGCGGCGGAGCAUGCGGAUUAAUUCGAUGCAACGCGAAGAACCUUACCAAGGCUUGACAUAUACGAGAACGGGCCAGAAAUGGUCAACUCUUUGGACACUCGUAAACAGGUGGUGCAUGGUUGUCGUCAGCUCGUGUCGUGAGAUGUU
This 1006-nucleotide ribosomal RNA is filed under the name Agreia sp. Its description in RNAcentral is "bacterial SSU rRNA". It matches the Rfam family "Bacterial small subunit ribosomal RNA", at positions 56 to 1076 of the family's 1533-position model. The record is from RNAcentral. Lineage: Bacteria; Bacillati; Actinomycetota; Actinomycetes; Micrococcales; Microbacteriaceae.